This 464-nucleotide ribosomal RNA is filed under the name uncultured bacterium. Its description in RNAcentral is "partial 16S ribosomal RNA". It matches the Rfam family "Bacterial small subunit ribosomal RNA", at positions 29 to 507 of the family's 1533-position model. The record is from RNAcentral.
ACGAACGCUUGCGGCGUGCUUAACACAUGCAAGUCGAACGGAAAGGCCCCUUUGGGGGUACUCGAGUGGCGAACGGGUGAGUAACACGUGAGUAACCUGCCCUUGACUUCGGGAUAACUUCAGGAAACUGGGGCUAAUACCGGAUAGGAAUCCUUGCUGCAUGGUGGGGGUUGGAAAGCUUCGGCGGUUUUGGAUGGACUCGCGGCUUAUCAGCUUGUUGGUGGGGUAGUGGCUUACCAAGGCUUUGACGGGUAGCCGGCCUGAGAGGGCGACCGGCCACAUUGGGACUGAGAUACGGCCCAGACUCCUACGGGAGGCAGCAGUGGGGAAUAUUGCACAAUGGGCGGAAGCCUGAUGCAGCAACGCCGCGUGCGGGAUGACGGCCUUCGGGUUGUAAACCGCUUUCAGCAGGGGCGAAGCUUGUGGUGACGGUACCUGCAGAAGAAGCACCGGCUAACUACGUG